This 105-nucleotide small nucleolar RNA is filed under the name Thalictrum thalictroides. The record is from RNAcentral. Lineage: Eukaryota; Viridiplantae; Streptophyta; Magnoliopsida; Ranunculales; Ranunculaceae.
AUGUGUUGCGAUGAUGAUAUUUGUUAAUACCCAGCUCAUUAUGAGACCUUUCUUUGUGAUUGGUCGAAGAAAAGAUUUUCCUUUUAACACAUUAUCUGAGCAAAU